GACGAACGCUGGCGGCGUGCUUAACACAUGCAAGUCGAACGGUGAAAGCGGAGCUUGCUCCGCUGGACCAGUGGCGAACGGGUGAGUAACACGUGGGCAACCUGCCCCUCACUUCGGGAUAACUCCGGGAAACCGGGGCUAAUACCGGAUAACAUUUUGAACCGCAUGGUCCGAAAGUGAAAGGCGGCUUCGGCUGUCACUUAUGGAUGGACCCGCGUGGAAUUAGGUAGGUGGUGAGGUAACGGCUCACCAAGGCAACGAUGCGUAGCCGACCUGAGAGGGUGAUCGGCCACACUGGGACUGAUACACGGCCCAGACUCCUACGGGAGGCAGCAGUAGGGAAUCUUCCGCAAUGGACGAAAGUCUGACGGAGCAACUCCGCGUGAGUGAUGAAGGCUUUCGGGUCGUAAAACUCUGUUGUUAGGGAAGAACAAGUGCUAGUUGAAUAAGCUGGCACCUUGACGGUACCUAACCAGAAAGCCACGGCUAACUACGUGCCAGCAGCCGCCGUAA
Molecule: ribosomal RNA, 513 nt
Filed under: uncultured bacterium
Lineage: Bacteria
Description: partial 16S ribosomal RNA
Rfam family: Bacterial small subunit ribosomal RNA
Source: RNAcentral